CUACGUGCCAGCAGCCGCGGUAAUACGUAGGGCGCGAGCGUUGUCCGGAAUUAUUGGGCGUAAGGAGCUUGUAGGCGGUUUGUCGCGUCUGCUGUGAAAGGCCGGGGCUUAACCCCGUGUAUUGCAGUGGGUACGGGCAGACUAGAGUGUAGUAGGGGAGACUGGAAUUCCUGGUGUAGCGGUGGAAUGCGCAGAUAUCAGGAGGAACACCGACGGCGAAGGCAGGUCUCUGGGCUGUAACUGACGCUGAGAAGCGAAAGCAUGGGGAGCGAACAGGAUUAGAUACCCUGGUAGUCCAUGCCGUAAACGUUGGGCACUAGGUGUGGGGGACAUUCCACGUUUUCCGCGCCGUAGCUAACGCAUUAAGUGCCCCGCCUGGGGAGUACGGCCGCAAGGCUAAAACUCAAAGAAAUUGACGGGGGCCCGCACAAGCGGCGGAGCAUGCGGAUUAAUUCGAUGCAACGCGAAGAACCUUACCAAGGCUUGACAU
RNAcentral lists this ribosomal RNA (490 nucleotides) under uncultured bacterium. RNAcentral describes it as "bacterial SSU rRNA". It matches the Rfam family "Bacterial small subunit ribosomal RNA", at positions 501 to 987 of the family's 1533-position model. The record is from RNAcentral.